GGGCCUGUGGCUCAGCCAGGUUAGUGAGAAUCGUCUCGCUGUCAGCGGCUGGCUCUUAACCAGCAUGCCGUGGGUUCGAAUCCCACCAGGCCCG
RNAcentral lists this transfer RNA (94 nucleotides) under Nitrososphaerota archaeon. RNAcentral describes it as "tRNA-Lys". It matches the Rfam family "tRNA". Rfam says of the family: Transfer RNA (tRNA) molecules are approximately 80 nucleotides in length. Their secondary structure includes four short double-helical elements and three loops (D, anti-codon, and T loops). The record is from RNAcentral. Lineage: Archaea; Thermoproteati; Nitrososphaerota.